Molecule: long non-coding RNA, 486 nt
Organism: Zophobas morio
Lineage: Eukaryota; Metazoa; Arthropoda; Insecta; Coleoptera; Tenebrionidae
Exons: 3
Source: RefSeq, a predicted model, not a curated record
GUUUAUCUCAGUGCAGCUUUUAGCAACGAUAAAGAUUCAUUAACUCUUAGAGUAGACCAAGUCACAACAGGUUGUAGAAAAUGCUCUUUCUGGGCAGAACUCAUCCUCUUUUAAUUUAAAACCUAUUCUGGCGCUUGAGGACUACCUUGAAUAUUUGCGCUGUGAAACUUACGAACUCUGUUAUGCAAAAUCACUCCUUAUUGAACCCAAAUCGGGCCCCAGUCCCACUGAAUCUUUUAAGCAAUUAAAGGGAGGCGAAGAGCAACUUCAGAAACCUGAAAACUAGGAGUUACUUUAUAUUAAGUAAUUAUGUUAAAGAUUCAACCCAACUUUGAGGAUAAUUGCGCUCGUUAUAUGUUUUAUUUCUUGUAAGUAUAUAAUAACAUUCAUGGUUAAGUGGAUAUAUGAAAGGGUCGCAACCUUAUCAUCCUUUGUUAGAAUUUUAUAGCUUUUCUUAUACAAGAGGAUUUUUGAAAUAAACUGAUC